Molecule: small nucleolar RNA, 184 nt
Gene: SNORA73
Rfam family: Small nucleolar RNA SNORA73 family
About the family: U17 (SNORA73A and SNORA73B) also known as E1 belongs to the H/ACA class of small nucleolar RNAs (snoRNAs). Vertebrate U17 is intron-encoded and ranges in length from 200-230 nucleotides, longer than most snoRNAs. It is one of the most abundant snoRNAs in human cells and is essential for the cleavage of pre-rRNA within the 5' external transcribed spacer (ETS).
Source: Ensembl
GCAACGUGGGUAUCCCGGGAGGUCGCUCUCCCCGGGUGCCGUCCGGGUGGCCUAGGGAGCAUAGGGGCUCAGCCCCGUGAUGUUAAAGAUGAAGCCGGGUCUACAGUCUCCACUUGAAUAUUCCUAUGGCUUCUCAGAGCCCUGUGGACGAUGACUGAGGGGACAAACCAUGCAGGAAACAUCU